RNAcentral lists this long non-coding RNA (1981 nucleotides) under Homo sapiens (human). RNAcentral describes it as "non-protein coding lnc-RTN2-1:1". Lineage: Eukaryota; Metazoa; Chordata; Mammalia; Primates; Hominidae. The record is from RNAcentral.
GGCAACAGUGCAGAACCAAGGGGAGAGGGGAUUCAUUGAAUUGUGGUUGGCAGGAGCAAGCCCUGCUCACACUCUCACACUCGCACCCAGAAUUGUCAAAGAUACAGAUUGUAAAAAUCUACGAUCCCUCAGUCUCACUCACAAAAAAUAAAAUCUCAUGUCCCCAACGAACCCAGAGUCAGACGACAGCUGGAGCAUUGGCAGGGACAGUCAGAAAGGAGACAAGUGAAAACGGUCAGAUGGACACAGGCGGAGGAGAAAAGACAGAGGGAGAGAGACCAUCGGGAACAAUCAGAGGGGCCGAGACGAUCAGAAAAGGGUCAGCCCGAGACAGGCUGAGCCAGAGUUUCUAGAAGCAGUUUCCAAUUCAACGGCUCGCUUUGAGGGCCAACGUGACCUAGGCCGAGGCUGCAGAAGCGCUCACACACUCACGCGCACGCACACACACACAUCCAUAUAUAAUAUAUUUACUUAUACAUAAUAGAUAUAAUUGCCUUUCGGAAACCAGGAAAGGGAUAAAUAGCUAAGGAAUGGGUCUGGGAUCAGGAUGGGAGACGCGCGACAAGGGGCACGUGGAAUGUUUUUCAUGCAGCACGGAUGGAGGGCGGCGUGGUCCACCCCCCGAUAUUAAAAAAUAUAAAUUUGCCUCAUAAAGAAAUCCUCAUGAGAUGAAGCGCAGGGAACGGCGGGGUGGGAGAGCCAAAACCAUGGUCAGGGAUGGGCGGACUCGGGCAUGGAAUCAUGAGAUUCCAGCCCCUUGAGUCUGCCAGUCCAAAAAUAUUGGGGGUUUGGGGGUACCAAAGCCUCAGCUCUGAAAUCUUCUCCGGAAAAAUGUCACAGCCCCUCACUCCCUUCCUGGAGAGGAUGUGAGGGGCCAAGGGGUGGGAGAAGUUGGCGUCCUAGGCUGGGGAUUGGUCGGGGGACCUUAAAGAAAAAGGCCAGGGCUGAGGGUCCUGAGGAGAGAGAGAGAGGCCACGUGGAUGGAGGACUGUCACCCCCUUCUCGGUUCUGUCACCCCCUUGAGUCUAACUCACUGUUGAGGGGAGGAAGAAGGGGGAUGGACGGAAGGGAGACCGAGGAAAGGCUUUCGGGAGUGGGGACAUUAUCCCCCCAGAGGUGUGCUGCCCCACCCAGCUGCACCCCACAAUCUGGCCAACUCAUUUCACAGUAUAAAUCACUCCAGCAGGACGGCAUCACAGCAGCCCCUGCUGCCUGAAAUCAGAGCGGCCCAACGAGGAAGGCCAGGAGGGUCGGCUGGCAGGGGGCAGGGUCUUGGGAUAACACUGUCAUCAGAAACAAGGCUGGGGGCUGAUUUCGGGGUGGGGAGCCUUAGGAGGCCAGAAAUUCCAAUCAGAGCCAGUUUUUCUGGGAGGGAGUGGCUAGACAGUCAAGGAAGGACGUUCACAUUUCAAAAGAAGUCGGGUGGGGGGAUGAGAUUAUUCUAGGGGGGCAUCGAAUUCCCUUUAAGGGGGGGGCUCACUUCUGCCCAGAGUAAAGAGGAUCUCACACCAUGGAAAUGUGGGAUCAAUAAGCUAAGGUCGGGAGUGCAGGGGAAACCAACCUAGGCACCCCAAAAAAAGGGUGGGUGUGGGAGACAUUGGGUAGGGAGUGGCAUUUUUCCUUGUUGAGCCUCUCUGGAGAGGACUCCAGCCCACCCCACAGCCUACCUCCCACCCCCGUCCCUUAAUCCUCACACAGGACUGCCCGAAGGUGGGCGUCACCCGCCCCCCUCCCCACCCAUCCCCAGAGCUUGGGUUGACGUCAGAGAGCCAACAGUCAGCUGGGGGUGUCCAUCCCCUUCCCACCCCCUGUCCCCAAAGUCACCAGCUCUCCGGCCUCGCCGGGGCACAGAAACAAGAGGCAGGACAAAACACAAGGAAUCCUCCUGUCCGAUGGCAGUGGCGCAGUGGCCGCAGAGGGUCAGACGGAGGAGCCAGGGAGGCCACACACCCACUUUGUCUCUUCCCCUCUCUCUCCUCCU